GACGAACGCUGGCGGCGCGCUUAACACAUGCAAGUCGAACGGAAAGGCCUGCUUUCCCUUGUGGAUUGCGGGUACUCGAGUGGCGAACGGGUGAGUAACACGUGAGUGAUCUGCCCCCAACUUGGGUAUAAGCCUGGGAAACUGGGUCUAAUUCCCGAUAGGACUGCAGGGUGGUGCCUGUGGUGGAAAACGAUUUUCUAGUGGUUGGGGAUGAGCUCGCGGCCUAUCAGCUUGUUGGUGGGGUAAUGGCCUACCAAGGCGGCGACGGGUAGCCGGCCUGAGAGGGUGGACGGCCACAUUGGGACUGAGAUACGGCCCAGACUGCUACGGGAGGCAGCAGUGGGGAAUAUUGGACAAUGGGCGGAAGCCUGAUGCAGCGAGGCCGCGUGGGGGAUGACGGCCUUCGGGUUGUAAACUCCUUUCGACCGCGAGGAAGCCACCUGGUUGGAAGGGUGGUGACGGUAGUGGUAGAAGAAGCACCGGCUAACUACGUG
This 494-nucleotide ribosomal RNA is filed under the name uncultured bacterium. RNAcentral describes it as "partial 16S ribosomal RNA". It matches the Rfam family "Bacterial small subunit ribosomal RNA", at positions 28 to 507 of the family's 1533-position model. The record is from RNAcentral.